UACGUAGGGUGCAAGCGUUGUCCGGAAUUAUUGGGCGUAAAGAGCUCGUAGGCGGUCUGUCGCGUCUGCUGUGAAAACCUAGGGCUUAACCCUGGGCCUGCAGUGGGUACGGGCAGACUAGAGUGCGGUAGGGGAGACUGGAAUUCCUGGUGUAGCGGUGAAAUGCGCAGAUAUCAGGAGGAACACCGAUGGCGAAGGCAGGUCUCUGGGCCACUACUGACGCUGAGAAGCGAAAGCAGGGGGAGCGAACAGG
This 253-nucleotide ribosomal RNA is filed under the name uncultured bacterium. RNAcentral describes it as "partial 16S ribosomal RNA". It matches the Rfam family "Bacterial small subunit ribosomal RNA", at positions 524 to 776 of the family's 1533-position model. The record is from RNAcentral.